Molecule: transfer RNA, 64 nt
Filed under: Ricania marginalis
Lineage: Eukaryota; Metazoa; Arthropoda; Insecta; Hemiptera; Ricaniidae
Also listed under: 1 other name
Description: tRNA-Trp
Source: RNAcentral
AAGGAUUUAAGUUAAAAAAAACUGUUAACCUUCAAAGUUAAAAUUAUAAAAUUUAUAAGCCUUA